Molecule: ribosomal RNA, 490 nt
Filed under: uncultured bacterium
Lineage: Bacteria
Description: bacterial SSU rRNA
Rfam family: Bacterial small subunit ribosomal RNA
Source: RNAcentral
UACAUGCAAGUCGAGCGGAAACGAUCCUAGCUUGCUAGGAGGCGUCGAGCGGCGGACGGGUGAGUAGUGCAUAGGAAUCUGCCCGGUAGUGGGGGAUAACCUGGGGAAACCCAGGCUAAUACCGCAUACGCCCUACGGGGGAAAGCAGGGGAUCUUCGGGCCUUGCGCUAUCGGAUGAGCCUAUGUCGGAUUAGCUAGUUGGUGAGGUAACGGCUCACCAAGGCUGCGAUCAGUAGCUGGUCUGAGAGGAUGAUCAGCCACAUUGGGACUGAGACACGGCCCAAACUCCUACGGGAGGCAGCAGUGGGGAAUCUUGCGCAAUGGGCGAAAGCCUGACGCAGCCAUGCCGCGUGAAUGAUGAAGGUCUUAGGAUUGUAAAAUUCUUUCGCCGGGGACGAUAAUGACGGUACCCGGAGAAGAAGCCCCGGCUAACUUCGUGCCAGCGGCCGCGGUAAUACGAAGGGGGCUAGCGUUGCUCGGAAUUACUGGG